This 491-nucleotide ribosomal RNA is filed under the name uncultured bacterium. Its description in RNAcentral is "partial 16S ribosomal RNA". It matches the Rfam family "Bacterial small subunit ribosomal RNA", at positions 29 to 507 of the family's 1533-position model. The record is from RNAcentral.
GUGAACGCUGGCGGUAGGCCUAACACAUGCAAGUCGAACGGCAGCACAGUAAGAGCUUGCUCUUACGGGUGGCGAGUGGCGGACGGGUGAGGAAUACAUCGGAAUCUACUUUUUCGUGGGGGAUAACGUAGGGAAACUUACGCUAAUACCGCAUACGACCUACGGGUGAAAGAAGGGGAUCUUCGGACCUUGCGCGAUUGAAUGAGCCGAUGUCGGAUUAGCUAGUUGGCGGGGUAAAGGCCCACCAAGGCGACGAUCCGUAGCUGGUCUGAGAGGAUGAUCAGCCACACUGGAACUGAGACACGGUCCAGACUCCUACGGGAGGCAGCAGUGGGGAAUAUUGGACAAUGGGCGCAAGCCUGAUCCAGCCAUACCGCGUGGGUGAAGAAGGCCUUCGGGUUGUAAAGCCCUUUUGUUGGGAAAGAAAAGCAGCAGGUUAAUACCCCGCUGUUCUGACGGUGCCCAAAGAAUAAGCACCGGCUAACUUCGUG